UGGCUGUGGCAAUAGUAGCAUACAUAGACAUUCGAUGAAUAAGAAUGGAGAUUUGUCGGUCAGAUAAUCCGUCAAUGUUCCAUUCAUAAAUGGCUUCUCCACUAUAAGAAGUAUUUGUCUGAUUCCAUUCCCUUUCCUCUAUCAGAACAUCUUGAGGAGUUGGGCGUGGAUAAUAUGCAGUAGACAUACGGGGAAUAUCAGCGUACUUCUUUCCAGGUUGUUUUUUAAUCAAACCUUUGAGCUUAUUAAGCUCGGAAGAGAUUAUAAUGCCAGGAUUUUCAGCAGAAUCAAUAUUCUCAGCAAAAUUAGACUCAAGAUUUUGUACAAAAUCAUCAGAAAUAUUGAGGGGUGUAAUAUUUAAACGAGAAAAUUUUUUAUCUAAGAGUUUCUCUAAUUGGUCUAAUUGAGAAACCUUUUCAAAUCCGUC
RNAcentral lists this long non-coding RNA (427 nucleotides) under Capsicum annuum. RNAcentral's name for it is "long non-coding RNA (CANN_LNC000203)". The record is from RNAcentral. Lineage: Eukaryota; Viridiplantae; Streptophyta; Magnoliopsida; Solanales; Solanaceae.